UUUUAGAAGCGCAAAGGCCUAUGUGCUAUCAAGUUGUUUCCAAUACUUGGACUUCCGAAUUGGCGAUUUACUUUAUUAGACUUAAUCUAAAAUAUUUGGCAUACCUAAAAAAGCAAGGUCAUAAUUUUUAGAUAUCAUUUACUUAGUGAUCGAAAUGGCUCAAAAUCAAUGACUGAAAAUAAAAAUCCUAUAUAAAGUGGUGAUAUGAUACUAAAAUUUUAGAUCAAAGAUAUUAAUUUUAUUUUAUGUGGUAUAAAGAAUUUGUUAUCACAAUUUCACGUGAUUUAAAUAUUUCUACACUAUUAAACUUACAAAUGGCUCAUUACAACCAUUACCAUUGUUAAUUUUGGACUUCUUUCACUAGGUAAAUGAUAUCGAAAAGUUGUGAAAUUUAUUUUCUAAGUGCUUUAAGUACUUUAGAUCAAGUCUAACGGAGCGAAUCUUUAAUGCGGAAGUACCAACAUCGAAAAUGACUUGAUGGCACGGAGGCUACUGUACUUCUAAAAGCACACAAGCCUAGC
Molecule: long non-coding RNA, 521 nt
Filed under: Ananas comosus (pineapple)
Lineage: Eukaryota; Viridiplantae; Streptophyta; Magnoliopsida; Poales; Bromeliaceae
Description: long non-coding RNA (ACOM_LNC016435)
Source: RNAcentral